UACGUAGGGUGCAAGCGUUGUCCGGAAUUAUUGGGCGUAAAGAGCUUGUUGGCGGUUUGUCGCGUCUGCUGUGAAAUUUCGGGGCUCAACCCCGAACUUGCAGUGGGUACGGGCAGACUAGAGUGUGGUAGGGGAGACUGGAAUUCCUGGUGUAGCGGUGAAAUGCGCAGAUAUCAGGAGGAACACCGAUGGCGAAGGCAGGUCUCUGGGCCACUACUGACGCUGAGAAGCGAAAGCGUGGGGAGCAAACAGG
This 253-nucleotide ribosomal RNA is filed under the name uncultured bacterium. RNAcentral describes it as "partial 16S ribosomal RNA". It matches the Rfam family "Bacterial small subunit ribosomal RNA", at positions 524 to 776 of the family's 1533-position model. The record is from RNAcentral.